RNAcentral lists this long non-coding RNA (1400 nucleotides) under Piliocolobus tephrosceles (Ugandan red Colobus). RNAcentral describes it as "lncRNA (ENSPTEG00000034433.1)". Lineage: Eukaryota; Metazoa; Chordata; Mammalia; Primates; Cercopithecidae. The record is from RNAcentral.
GCAAACUGAAGCAAAACUAUUACGUGGAAAUUUUAAAAAUGGUUAACCACAAAAUGUGUAUUAGUUUUUACUACUUACAAAACUUAUUAGAAAAAAGAGAAAAAACAUAUUUAGACAUACCACCGCAAGAAGAGUACUUUUUUUUUUGAGUCAGAUGACACAACGUAUUCUAUUAAUGGUGAUAGUAGUGAAGAAGACAACACUAACGAUGAUAAUCUGAUAAAAGAAAAAAAAAAAGACAAAAAAAAAAACAGUAGUAAUAACACUAAUGAUUUAAUUAAUAAAAGUAACAAUAAUGAUAAUCAAGCUGACGACAGUAGCAAAAAGAAUAAUGAAAUCAUAAAAGAUGAAGCCAAAUAUUUAUCUGAGUUAUUUAACAUUAAUAAUAAAGAGGUUGAUUUAAUUAAAUAUAUUGAUUUAUAUAAAAAUAAUAAUUUUAAUGGAUAUAAUAUAUUUUUUGAAAAUUUAGAUAAUAUAAAAAUUGAUUCAGAUAUAUUUAUUUUUAAUAAAAACAAUGAAUAUUAUAAAUAUAUAUUCACAAAUAACUAUUAUGAUUUUUUAUUAUAUAUAUCUUAUGCUAAUGAGGAAGAACACAAUGGGUAUAUACAGUAUAAUAACUACUUAUAUAAUUUGCCAAGAUAUUUAUAUGAAUUAAAAAUAAAUAGAGGAUAUUAUAAUAUAAUGACUAUAGAUGAUCUAGUUUUGUAUAAACAAUUAAUUUAUGAAUGUUAUUCAAUGGAAUUAAAGUAUAUGUUCGAAAACUUUUGCUUCCAGUUUAAACAAGUUGAUACAGGUAACAGCGGAUAUGUACAUAGAAAUGUUUUAAAAAAAGCCCUUUUGCAAAAUGACCAUAUAAUAUCGAGGCAAGAAUAUAAACUGUUACUUAACGUAUUUUCUUUUAACGAUGACAAUUAUGUGUAUUACAAAAAUUUAAAGGAGGUCGUUUUACGGCUACGAUUUGAAGGCAUAAAAAAUAGCAUAUUCGAAAAAGAUAAAAAGUUACUACAAAAAUACUUAUGUGAAGAGCUAUUAAAGCAUAAUCUGAAAAAUCAAAAAAAAAUUCAUAUAUGCAAUUGUAAAAAUGUGUUAGAUGGCUGUGACAAAUUAUACCUAAAUAAAAAUAUUAUUCAUAUAAUAUUAUGUUCGUUAAAUUUUGACACAAAUUUAAACGUCGACAUCUUAUUAUUUUUACAAACUUCAGUUACCAUCAUAAUAAACAGUAUUAACUUAAAAUAUAUGCAAAAAAUAUAUAAUAACAUAAUUAAUGAAAAAAAAAAAAAAAAGAGUAUCAAGAUGAUGAUUCGAAAAAAGGGAAUCAGAAAAAUAGGGACAUUGUUAGAAAGAGCAAGGAAGCGGUAUAGCAAGUGAAACUGCUUUUAAAGAGAAAAAAAAAAAAAAAA